Molecule: small RNA, 5616 nt
Filed under: Pan troglodytes (chimpanzee)
Lineage: Eukaryota; Metazoa; Chordata; Mammalia; Primates; Hominidae
Description: retained intron
Source: RNAcentral
CUCAGACUCCGACGCUGAGGACUCCGCCGGCUCGGAGGCCGCCGCGAGAGCCCGGGACCCAGCGGGUGAGCGCAGGGCGGCUGCCGAGGCGUUGCGGCUGCUGCGGCCGGAGCAGGUCCUGAAGCGCCUCGCGGUGUGCGUGGACACAGCCAUCCUGGAAGACGCCGGUGCCGACGUCCUGAUGGAGGCCCUGGAGGCCCUGGGCUGCGAGUGCCGCAUCGAGCCCCAGCGCCCGGCCCGCAGCCUGCGGUGGACCCGAGCGAGUCCCGACCCCUGCCCCCGCAGCCUGCCUCCUGAAGUGUGGGCUGCAGGUGAACAGGAAUUGCUGCUGCUGCUGGAGCCCAAGGAGUUUCUGCAGGGCGUCGCCACACUGACCCAGAUCUCUGGCCCAACCCGCUGGGUGCCCUGGAUCUCCCCCGAGACCACCGCCCGGCCCCACCUGGCUGUCAUCGGGCUGGAUGCCUACCUGUGGUACCGCUCACUCUCAUGCCCACAGCAGGGCUGGCUGGGACGGGAGUUCAGGGGAGGUGGGCACACUUCUGGGGUUGCUGUGGCACAGCUGAUCCCACUUCCCCAGGUGGGCUCUGGCAGAGGCCAAGCUUGGGCAGGGCAGGCCCCAUGGGGAGCGGGGAGGAACGGUCACCUCUGCUCAGGUCUCGCCAGCACGUUUCCCGGGGGACACAGCAGCCAGAGAGCCCGAAGGUGGCCGGUGCCGAGGUGGCCGUCAGCUGGCCGGAGGUGGAAGAGGCCCUGGUACUCCUGCAGCUCUGGGCAAACCUGGACGUGCUACUGGUGGCCUCUUGGCAGGAGCUGAGUCGGCACGUGUGCGCCAUGACCAAGGCUCUCGCCCAGUAUCCCCUCAAGCAGUACCGGGAAUCCCAGGCCUUCUCCUUCUGCACAGCAGGGCGCUGGGCAGCCAGCGAGCCAGUGGCAAGAGACGGCACAGGGCUGCAGGCGGCCUGGCGGAGGCAGAUCAGGCAGUUCAGUCGGGUCAGCCCAGCUGUGGCUGAUGCAGUUGUCACAGCCUUCCCCUCCCCCCGCCUUCUGCAGCAGGCGCUGGAGGCCUGCAGCACGGAGCGGGAGCGCAUGGGCCUCCUGGCCGACCUUCCUGUGCUGCCCAGUGAAGGUGGGCGUCCCCGCAGGGUGGGGCCUGACCUCUCCCGCCGCAUCUGCCUCUUCCUGACCACAGCCAACCCUGAUCUCCUGCUGGACCUGGGCUCCUGAGCACACGUGGGACCACCAGGACAGCAUGCAGCCUUGGGGACAGACCAGACACCCUGGGCGGUGGGGGAGGACCCCCAGCCACAUGUGGACCCUCAGCCUGGGUGGGUUCUCUGGCUGAGCAGGUCUGACCUCAGGGGGAGGGUGGGUGGUUGCAGAGGAAGUUUUAGGUAGCUGGGAGGAGAAGAGGGGCUUCUGGCAGGCAGAUGGCUGGCGGUUCCUGUGCUGAGUCCUGAACACGUAGGCCCCAGGGGAGCUCAGCAGCAGGGCUGUGCCCCCCACCCCCCCACACACUCGGCAGGGACCAGAAGGCAGCUCCAGUGCCCCACUGCCACCUGGAGGCUUGGGGUGUGGCACCCUCAGCCAGAAGCAGUAGGGGACUCCCAAGGAUGUGGAGGGGCAGUGAGGCCUGGGAGAAGGCCCAGGCUGCUCGCAAACCCGGCCUCUGCACGGAUACGUUUCAGCUCACGCCAUGUGGGUGUUAGACAUCAACUCUACGUUUAUUGCAGUCCUUUAAGUCUAUGACGGCAGGGCAGCCGCUGACAGCAUGCAGAGCAAGUUAGGAAAAACCGAGGCCCUGUGGGAACGGCAACGCGGGCUCCAGCCAGGCUCUCGUCCUCGCAGCCUCCCACAAGACCUGGGGCUCAGGGCAGCCGCUUCCCCACCCAGCACAGCAGCAGAGGAGCCCUAGAGCCCCCCCAGAAAGGACUGUCCCAGCCUCGGGAGCAAGAGAUGGCUCCCUCCGGACGGGCCUCAUCCAACUCCGCCCUGGAGUGUGGCUGGAAGGAAGGGACAGAGAAAGAAGGGACGGAGGAAAGGGGCUGUCCUAGCCCAAGAAGGCAGUUCCACUGGGGCAGUCAGUCAGAUCCGGCGGCAGCGCUUCCUCUGGCAGGGCCGAGGCUCGCGACUGCUGGGGUGGGCCGAGGUCGCUGCCUGGGGAUCGGACGCUGGAGCCUUGCGGCGGCUGCAGCUCAUGCUCAGGACCCAGCCCAGCUUGUUGUGUAGCACCUGCUUGAGGCCCGGCGGCAGCGGCAGACCCUCCAGCGUGUCUCCCGAGUCUGGCCGCAGCUGGCGCAGGCGGUGGCAGCACAGGUACUGGAGGGAGGUGGCGCUGGCGCAGGAGCGGGUGACCUUCAUGCUGCUCCGGGCCGCCGUGGAGCACACCAUCGGGUAGAACCUCUUGUUCUGCAGCUUGGUGGCUGCCACACCUGGAAGGGAGGGGCCCGGCCUGAACCCCAGGCAGGGAAGGGGCCAGCUACUGGGCGCGGCCCCUCAGACCUCACGCUACAGUCACCCGGGUGGGCAGCUGGCACAGCUGAGGCAAGGCAGGGUGCAUGCGCUGGCCCUGCCACUCCAGCCUGGCCUCACUGUCCCACCCCCUGGGACCCUGGGGCCUCAGGCUUCUGGGAGGAACCCUUUCGGAAAACCUCAGUGUCCACUGGGCUGGGGUGCGGUGGCCGCCUCCCUCGGGGUGACAGCUGAGAAGAGCUCAAGACCUGUGGCAGCCUCACCUAUACACUUCCUGUUCUUGAAAAAGGUGAGCGUGCCAUGCCAGGUGUCCAGGUGCACGCCAAUGAUGGAGCCCUGGCCGAACCGCGACGAGAAGCUGGUCUUGUCGCCCUUGUGGUGGAGGAGGCCUGGGGGCAGCCAGGGUCGCAGUGAGCCCGGGAGCUCCAGGCUCGGCCCCGCCCCACCCUGGGCCUCACGCACCCGUGUAGGAGAGGCCCCAGCUGUCCUCAUCCCUGCCCAGCAGGCUGCAGAACGUGUGGCGGUAUUUGUCCAGGUCCACAUCCGACGUCCCGAUGCCCACCAUCUAGGAACGGGGGCCAGGCAGAGGGCGCGGGGCUGGGCUGCCGGAGCCAGGUUCCCCAGAAGCACCCUGGGCUGAAGCAACUUACCAUGUCGGUGCCGUAGACGGGAGAGGUCAUCUUGAUCUCCCAGAAGUGCUGGCCCUCCCCCAGCUCCUUGGUGCCCCGGAUGGCCGCUGUGCCGCAGCUGUACUCCAUGUGGAAGCUGACCUUACGGUUGUCACAGCUCAGCAGGGUGGCUGAUGACUUAUUCAAGUCAUCCCAGACCCAGUCGAAAUCUGCAAGAGAGGCCCAGGCUGGGGCAGCCCUGAGAGCUCCAUGGGGCUCUGCCCUGCCCGCCCCCAGGCCCGCCCGCAGUGCAGUCCCAGCAGGGGCUGGGCCCCACGCUCACACUCGUCUUCCUCUCCACAGCGGCAGUCCUUGCCCCGGUGGGCCGAGUGCAGGCUGCUACAGAAGGAGGCCUCGCUCUGCCCAGCACAGUCACAGAAGGACUCGCCGGUCACGGGCACUGCACUGGGGAUGGAUGGCGGCAGCGUGGAGUACUCGGGGUCGGAGUCCGAGUCGCUGUGCUGGGAGAGAAGGGCCGGCUGUUCCUACCUGUUGCCAGCUCUCUACCCUCUCACGCUUGCCCUCUGUCCCUGUCCCACCCUGUCCCUGACCCACCCAGGAAAGGAUGAGGGUCCAGGCCUCCAGGGACUUCACAGUACCCCGAGCGCACAGCCCAGGCUCCUUCCCAACAGGCUCCGGCUCUGCCCCAUUCUGCAUGACCAGGAGGGCCCCGGAGGCCCAGCCACUGAGCAGUAGCCAAGGCUGCCUGGCCUCCAAGUGGUUUCUAGAUGGUGGAUAAGCCCCAGGUCCACCCCACCUGCCCAGAGCUGAGAUGGUGUGGACACCUUCCCUGCUAGGCCAGCCCUGCAGGGGCCCCCAGGCAAGGCCACCACCCCCACACCAGGCCCAGCUGCAGCCACCUGGCCUCAGGGCAGUCCCCACCACACUGUGGCCCAACGACCUUCCUGUUACCUGAGCAGACCUGGCUCACCACAGGGUCCUACUGCCCAGUGCCCACUACAGGCCCCGCCCCUCCUGGUGCAGGUUUCAGCUGUCACCUCCCUGAGGCUUCUCCAGCCCCUUCACCCCUGUUCCAUUUUUCUUCUUUUGCUUCACUGAAGUUCUCCUUGGUCCUGAUUAUUGGCCUCCUCCCACCAGAAUGUGAGCUCCUUGUGGGAGGCAGUGCCCCUCCCCAGCCUCCUCCCUGUCACAGGCUGUGUGGGGGCCACCCAGGGGCUGAAUGGACUGGGGGGUCAGCAGGGAGAGUGCUAAGUGGUGGCGGGGGGCCUGUGGCAGAGGCCUUGUGACAGUGAGGGUUGAGGGCUGGUCCAGAGAGGUGAUGUGAUCCCCAGGAGAAGCCACAGGGGACCAUGACAUGGGCGCCACCAGCUUCCAGGUGAACGUGGACCUAUCCAAAGCCAGCUUCAGGGCAGGACACUGUCCUCUCUGGAGGGGAUGGCCCCACCCCACAGACAAGGCAGGCCCAGACAACUCUACCCCACUGCCUAGAAGUGCGGGUCCUCAGAGCCAGGGUAGACCCCCUGAGUCAGGAGCCCGGGCACAGAACUGAGCACUUGCACUGCAGGCCCAGGGCCAGGUUCCCUGGAGAAGGAGAAAGACUGAAUGCCACUGCCUACCUCCUGCCCACAACACACUGCAAGCCCAUUUGGUGACACAGGACAAGCAGCACAUGUGUUGAACACUGCCGAGCCCGCAGGCACGCCUGCAUCCCACAGCCACGAGCCUGUGAGGCUCAGGCAUGUGACCUGCAGGAGCUGUAGGCGGGCGGGAAGGCAGGUGGGGGCCUCUCCCUGGCUGGAGCAGGGAGCUCCAGGAGACCUCAGGACGGCCCCCACCCGGUGGGUAAGGACCCUGUUGCCCAAUUUGCCCCCAAGGCCUAAUGGACCCACCGGGCUUAGGGAGUCCUCACUCGGAGGAGAGGAGCCCACCCCUCCCAGGACACCUGGCUGAGCCGGAACAGCAGCGCAGGGGAGCUGUGACAGCAGAGAGCAGCACCAGGUCACACAAGCAGCCGCCCCGGAAGGACACAGCCCAUGGUGACAGAGGACAAGCAGCAUGCGUGUGUCAGACACUGGCCUGGCCUGUGGACACGCCCGCAUCCCACAGCCAUGACCCUGCAAGGCCAGGAGAGACUGCUCCAGGGCACAUGACCUGUGGCAGCUGGAAAUGGGGCAGGGAGGCGCAGCCACACUCCUGCUCUGGUCCGAGGGAGAUCUCAGGAAACCGACUGGGAAAUCACCCCCCACAGGGACCCCCACCCCUCCCAGCCUCACUGCGCCCCGUCAGGCCAGGCAGCUGCCCUCAGGGUCUGCCAAGGUGGGGGUCAGGGGCCAUGGGUGCAGGUAGCUCUGCCUGCAAAGCCCACAAGCAUGUCAGAUCACCUGGGCUGCAGACAGACAAACACCUGAGCUGUUCUGAAUACCUUCAGGUUCCUGGCCUCCCUGAGCAAGUGCAGAAAUUUUUACCUUCAAGGAUCAGGGUUUGUUUGUUUGUUUGUUUUUUAACACACAUAUAUGUG